This 301-nucleotide ribosomal RNA is filed under the name uncultured bacterium. RNAcentral's name for it is "partial 16S ribosomal RNA". It matches the Rfam family "Bacterial small subunit ribosomal RNA", at positions 509 to 807 of the family's 1533-position model. The record is from RNAcentral.
CAGUAGCCGCGGUAAUACGGAGGGUGCAAGCGUUAAUCGGAAUUACUGGGCGUAAAGCGUGCGUAGGCGGUUCGUUAAGUCUGUUGUGAAAGCCCCGGGCUCAACCUGGGAAUGGCAGUGGAUACUGGCGAGCUAGAGUGUGUCAGAGGAUGGUGGAAUUCCCGGUGUAGCGGUGAAAUGCGUAGAGAUCGGGAGGAACAUCAGUGGCGAAGGCGGCCAUCUGGGACAACACUGACGCUGAGGCACGAAAGCGUGGGGAGCAAACAGGAUUAGAUACCCCUGUAGUCCCUGUCUCUUAUAC